CGACGAGUUUGAUCCUGGCUCAGGAUGAACGCUAGCGGCAGGCUUAACACAUGCAAGUCGAGGGGUAUAGUUCUUCGGAACUAGAGACCGGCGCACGGGUGCGUAACGCGUAUGCAAUCUACCUUUUACAGAGGGAUAGCCCAGAGAAAUUUGGAUUAAUACCUCAUAGUAUUUUCGAAUCGCAUGAUUUGAUUAUUAAAGUUCCAACGGUAAAAGAUGAGUAUGCGUCCCAUUAGCUAGAUGGUAAGGUAACGGCUUACCAUGGCAACGAUGGGUAGGGGUCCUGAGAGGGAGAUCCCCCACACUGGUACUGAGACACGGGACCAGACUCCCACGGGAGGCAGCAGUGAGGAAUAUUGGACAAUGGGCGCAAGCCUGAUCCAACCCAUGCCCGCGUGCAGGAUGACGGUCCUAUGGAUUGUAAACUGC
Molecule: ribosomal RNA, 429 nt
Filed under: uncultured Flavobacterium sp.
Lineage: Bacteria; Pseudomonadati; Bacteroidota; Flavobacteriia; Flavobacteriales; Flavobacteriaceae
Description: bacterial SSU rRNA
Rfam family: Bacterial small subunit ribosomal RNA
Source: RNAcentral